GGCCAGACUCCUACGGGAGGCAGCAGUGGGGAAUAUUGCACAAUGGGGGAAACCCUGAUGCAGCAACGCCGCGUGAGUGAAGAAGUCAUUCGUGAUGUAAAGCUCUAUCAGCAGGGAAGAAAAUGACGGUACCUGAGUAAGAAGCCCCGGCUAACUACGUGCCAGCAGCCGCGGUAAUACGUAGGGAGCAAGCGUUAUCCGGAAUUAUUGGGUGUAAAGGGUGCGUAGACGGGACAGCAAGUUAGUUGUGAAAGCCCGCGGCUUAACUGAGGAACUGCAACUAAAACUAUUGUUCUUGAGUGCAGGAGAGGAAAGCGGAAUUCCUAGUGUAGCGGUGAAAUGCGUAGAUAUUAGGAGGAACACCAGUGGCGAAGGCGGCUUACUGGACUGUGACUGACGUUGAGGCUCGAGAGCGUGGGGAGCAAACAGGAUUAGAUACCCCUGUAC
Molecule: ribosomal RNA, 447 nt
Filed under: uncultured bacterium
Lineage: Bacteria
Description: bacterial SSU rRNA
Rfam family: Bacterial small subunit ribosomal RNA
Source: RNAcentral